Molecule: ribosomal RNA, 433 nt
Filed under: uncultured bacterium
Lineage: Bacteria
Description: partial 16S ribosomal RNA
Rfam family: Bacterial small subunit ribosomal RNA
Source: RNAcentral
AACGAACGCUGGCGGCAUGCCUAACACAUGCAAGUCGAACGAGACCUUCGGGUCUAGUGGCGCACGGGUGCGUAACGCGUGGGAACCUGCCCUUAGGUUCGGAAUAACUCCCCGAAAGGGGUGCUAAUACCGGAUAAUGUCUUCGGACCAAAGAUUUAUCGCCUUUGGAUGGGCCCGCGUUGGAUUAGCUAGUUGGUAGGGUAAAAGCCUACCAAGGCGACGAUCCAUAGCUGGUCUGAGAGGAUGAUCAGCCACACUGGGACUGAGACACGGCCCAGACUCCUACGGGAGGCGGGAGUGGGGAAUAUUGGAAAAUGGGCGAAAGCCUGAUCCAGCAAUGCCGCGAGAGUGAUGAAGGCCUUAGGGUUGUAAAGCUCUUUUACCCGGGAUGAUAAUGACAGUACCGGGAGAAUAAGCACCGGCUAACUCCGUG